CCUACGGGAGGCAGCAGUGAGGAAUAUUGGUCAAUGGGCGCGAGCCUGAACCAGCCAAGUCGCGUGAGGGAGGACGGCCCUACGGGUUGUAAACCUCUUUUGCCGGGGAGCAACGGGCGUCACGUGUGGCGCCACUGAGAGUACCCGGAGAAAAAGCAUCGGCUAACUCCGUGCCAGCAGCCGCGGUAAUACGGAGGAUGCGAGCGUUAUCCGGAUUUAUUGGGUUUAACGGGUGCGUAGGCGGAUCGUUAAGUCAGUGGUCAAAUGGCGGGGCGCAACCCCUGCCCGCCAUUGAAACUGGCGUUCUUGAGUGGAAGAGAAGUAUGCGGAAUGCGUGGUGUAGCGGUGAAAUGCAUAGAUAUCACGCAGAACCCCGAUUGCGAAGGCAGCAUGCCGGCUUCCGACUGACGCUGAAGCACGAAAGCGUGGGGAUCGAACAGGAUUAGAUACCCCUGUAGUC
This 460-nucleotide ribosomal RNA is filed under the name uncultured bacterium. RNAcentral describes it as "partial 16S ribosomal RNA". It matches the Rfam family "Bacterial small subunit ribosomal RNA", at positions 338 to 795 of the family's 1533-position model. The record is from RNAcentral.